Molecule: long non-coding RNA, 229 nt
Organism: Parus major (Great Tit)
Lineage: Eukaryota; Metazoa; Chordata; Aves; Passeriformes; Paridae
Exons: 3
Source: RefSeq, a predicted model, not a curated record
AUGUCCCCAGGCCUGGGCGCUGUCACCUGGUCCCCACUGGCCCCCGGGCCCCCCCUGGAUGAGGAGACCCCCGGAAACGCCCCGGCCAAGGGCCGGCCCCGCUGCCCGGUGGCUCCGGGGGAGCUGCAGCCGCUGGCCCAGAAGUUGGGGUGCUCCGAGAGACAGCUGGGCAUCGCCUGGUCCCUGCGGCUCGAGGGCGUUCAGGGGUGACACAGAGGUGACAUUGAUG